Molecule: ribosomal RNA, 480 nt
Filed under: Streptococcus sp. oral taxon 064
Lineage: Bacteria; Bacillati; Bacillota; Bacilli; Lactobacillales; Streptococcaceae
Description: bacterial SSU rRNA
Rfam family: Bacterial small subunit ribosomal RNA
Source: RNAcentral
GACGAACGCUGGCGGCGUGCCUAAUACAUGCAAGUAGAACGCUGAAGGAGGAGCUUGCUCUUCUGGAUGAGUUGCGAACGGGUGAGUAACGCGUAGGUAACCUGCCUGGUAGCGGGGGAUAACUAUUGGAAACGAUAGCUAAUACCGCAUAAGAGUAGAUGUUGCAUGACAUUUGCUUAAAAGGUGCAAUUGCAUCACUACCAGAUGGACCUGCGUUGUAUUAGCUAGUUGGUGGGGUAACGGCUCACCAAGGCGACGAUACAUAGCCGACCUGAGAGGGUGAUCGGCCACACUGGGACUGAGACACGGCCCAGACUCCUACGGGAGGCAGCAGUAGGGAAUCUUCGGCAAUGGACGGAAGUCUGACCGAGCAACGCCGCGUGAGUGAAGAAGGUUUUCGGAUCGUAAAGCUCUGUUGUAAGAGAAGAACGAGUGUGAGAGUGGAAAGUUCACACUGUGACGGUAUCUACCAGAAAGGAC